AGUGAACGCUGGCGGUAGGCCUAACACGUGCAAGUCGAACGGCAGCACAGUAAGAGCUUGCUCUUACGGGUGGCGAGUGGCGGACGGGUGAGGAAUACAUCUGAAUCUACUUUUUCGUGGGGGAUAACGUAGGGAAAUUUAGGUUAUAACGGCAUACGACCUACGGGUGAAAGAAGGGGAUUUUCGGACUUUGCGCGAUUGAAUGGGCCGAUGUCGGAUUGGCUAGUUGGCGGGGUAAAGGCCCACAAAGGCGACGAUCCGUAGCUGGUCUGAGAGGAUGAUCAGCCACACUGGAACUGAGACACGGUCCAGACUCCUACGGGAGGCAGCAGUGGGGAAUAUUGGACAAUGGGCGCAAGCCUGAUCCAGCCAUACCGCGUGGGUGAAGAAGGCCUUCGGGUUGUAAAGCCCUUUUGUUGGGAAAGAAAAGCAGCAGGUUAAUACCCCGCUGUUCUGACGGUACCCAAAGAAUAAGCACCGGCUAACUUCGUG
This 492-nucleotide ribosomal RNA is filed under the name uncultured bacterium. Its description in RNAcentral is "partial 16S ribosomal RNA". It matches the Rfam family "Bacterial small subunit ribosomal RNA", at positions 29 to 507 of the family's 1533-position model. The record is from RNAcentral.